Molecule: long non-coding RNA, 369 nt
Filed under: Medicago truncatula (barrel medic)
Lineage: Eukaryota; Viridiplantae; Streptophyta; Magnoliopsida; Fabales; Fabaceae
Description: long non-coding RNA (MTRU_LNC002941)
Source: RNAcentral
UUUAACCUUUUUACAAUUAUACAAUCAAAACUCAAAGUGGGGUUCCAAGAUUAUUGAAAAAGAUCCUUUCUUUUUUCUCUGAUUUCUCUGUUUCCUCUGUUUUCUAAAUUAUAACCAAUCAGAUUGCACAAACCAGAACAAAAAGCAUUGCCACUCUUUCUUCGUUAGUUUCAAUUUGUUUGGUUUUUUCAACUAGUAACCAUUUGUGUCCAUAGUUCUGAAUUCUGAACAGAAAACAGUAGAUCAGAAACCUCUGACAAAAAAAAAAAAAAAAACUCAUGAUAGAAACUUUUCGUACGUGUCAAGAAAUGUUGACAAUAACAUAAUACCCUUUACCUUUUUCGUGUAUAGGAAUAUUGUACACCAUAG